AGAAGGUUGAUUUUUAAGGGAAGCAGGUGAAAACUAGGACAAGGAGGCAUCUUUAAGCUGAGCAGAAGAUCUCAGAAUUAUGUUAUUUAUAGUAAACCUUAUCAAUCAUUACAUUUACAUCUUCUGAAAUCCAAAACUGUGAUGACCAACACAGCAUGUUGCAUGUAUGGUUGUAUUUUUGUUUUUUAAUUUAAUUAUUUUUAUUUAUAUUUAAUCCAUAUUCCAAAACUUUUAUCAUGCCCAUCCCUUUCAAGCUCCUCCCUUUCGCCUUCCCUUUCUCUUUCUUUUGUCU
Molecule: unclassified non-coding RNA, 292 nt
Filed under: Hevea brasiliensis (rubber tree)
Lineage: Eukaryota; Viridiplantae; Streptophyta; Magnoliopsida; Malpighiales; Euphorbiaceae
Source: RNAcentral